RNAcentral lists this unclassified non-coding RNA (1464 nucleotides) under Centruroides sculpturatus (bark scorpion). RNAcentral describes it as "uncharacterized LOC111625141, transcript variant X4". Lineage: Eukaryota; Metazoa; Arthropoda; Arachnida; Scorpiones; Buthidae. The record is from RNAcentral.
AUGACGUAUGUAGUGGGAGGCUGUUUCCGUCGAGUGAUGUAGUGUGUACGUCGUGUAUCGUGAUGCAGAUUAUCAGAGGCGAUUUAGUUAUUUGAAUAAUUUUUUUAGUGCAUCUUUGGAGUCUUUAAGUAUCGCACGAGUGUAAAAUUACUUUCCAUGACGUGUUUGGAGUAUGGGUGUGUGUUUCAGUUGUUGCCUGGGUGACGACCACAGGAAGUACAAGAGAACCAGGGUUUUUAGCACUGAAAGUCUUAUUGAGACAGAGACUCAACCAAAAAGAAUCGUAAUCAAUGGGAAGCAAUGGAAAUGGAAAGACCAGCAGUAAUAGAAACUCAAGCAGAAGCACUAAGAGUUGCCCAAUCAGCACAAGCAAAUGAAAACACAAAUUCUGCUAAAUUAGUUUUUUGGAAUAAUCAUCUUUACUGGUUGAAAGAUGCAGAAGAUUGGAGAAAUAGAAGUCAAUUUAGUUCUCAUGGAGAAGCAUCUCAAAUGGAAGCAGCAGUACCACUUCUCACAUGUGAUAGUUCUGUAGGAGAUAGUAGUAGUAUUACUGGAAGUCAAAAGUGGGAAAAACUUCCUGCUGGAAAUGGAACACCUGGUUCUUCUCUUGAUUUGGAAUGGGAAAAUGAAGCUGGACUUACACCACCACCUCAUUAUCUUAUUCCCACAACUGAUGAUCUCACUUGGUUUGUAUUGAGUGAAAAUAGUAGUAAUCAUUCUCAUCCAUCUACUCCAGUCUCUAAUGGAAAUGAUUUAGAAUGGGAUUUUACAAGUGUUCAAGUAACUGAAGACAGUAAAGAACAAGUAAUAAAUACAGAUUUUAUAGAAAAUGGUAAUAGCAUAGAAAGAUGAUCUUACAGUUCACGACCCCUUUUACUCUCUACUCGUCUACAAAAACUAUCUGUAGAUAUUGAGACUGUUGCAACAGUACGACCAAGAAAUUUGAUUGGCCGACCAAGCUUUUCUAAUGCUGCUGUUUUCGAUGUGGUCGUCGCGAUCCAGGCGAACCGAAUCAACAAAGUCUUUCAGUAAUCAGGGUAAUGGGCCUUAACCCAAAGGAAAUGCAACCGAUAUGUGGUAAUGUAAUCUUCCAGCAAAAUCAAACAAAGAAAUAUUUACUACAUUUUUCAAAUGUAAAACAAAAAAAAAUUAAAAAUUUGAUGCCUAACAAUUGUAUCAUAAAAACCAAAAUAUGUAAAUUGACGGAAAAAACAUUUUAAUUAAGAUUAAUUAACCAAUAUGGUUGACGAUAUCGUUUAGUUUUGUAUUUUAACUUCACUGUUAAAUGGAAUAAUUGCCUUCUUUGUUGAUUGUAGUGAUCCUAUGUAGUCCUUUAAAUCAGUUAUUACAAAAUCAUUUUAAUAGUAAAACUUCUAUGUCAAAAUUACAAUAUCUAUAUAUACAUUCAUAUAGGUAAAUAUAAUGAUUUUGUUGUGUAUGUGUGUUUCUCUGUAAUUUAAUUUA